Molecule: long non-coding RNA, 1128 nt
Filed under: Zea mays
Lineage: Eukaryota; Viridiplantae; Streptophyta; Magnoliopsida; Poales; Poaceae
Description: long non-coding RNA (ZMAY_LNC004971)
Source: RNAcentral
AGCACCGAGUACUGCACAAGAUCAUACUGAGGAUGAUACUGGGAAUGAAGUUCCAGAAGAGCACAUGGUAUCUCUUGAGUUACAAAGUCAAACCCCUGGUGAUCUACCCACAGAGACAGAAACCUUACAUUCUGAUGCUAUAGUAAAAGAGUUGCCUCAUAAUGCUCCAGAUAAUAUGCAAACUGAUAUAGCCGAAGAUCCAAAACAGAGUCACAAUCCAGGAGGUAAUGCCGUAUUUGAUGCAGUCACUGAAGCAAGAAGUACUACACAAGAUCAUACUGAGGAUGAUACUGGGAAUGAAGUUCCAGAAGAGGACAUGGUAUCUCUUGAGUUACAAAGUCAAACCCCUGGUGAUCUACCCACAGAGACAGAAACCUUAUAUUCUGAUGCUAUAGUAAAAGAGUUGCCUCAUAAUGCUCCAGAUAAUCUGCAAACUGAUAUAGCCAGAGAUCCAAAACAGAGUCACAAUCUAGGAGAUAAUGCUGUAUUUGAAGCAGUCACUGAAGCACCAAGUACUGCACAAGAUCAUACUGAGGAUGAUACUGGGAAUGAAGUUCCAGAAGAGCACAUGGUAUCUCCUGAGUUACAAAGUCAAACCCCUGGUGAUCUACCCACAGAGACAGAAACCUUACAUUCUGAUGCUAUGAUAAAAGAGUUGCCUCAGAAUGCUCCAAAUAGUAUGCAAACUGACAUAGCUGAAGAUCCAAAACAGAGUCACAAUCCAGGAGAUAAUGCCGUAUUUGAAGCAGUCACUGAAGCACCAAGUACUGCACAAGAUCAUACUGAGGAUGAUACUGGUAAUAAAGUUCCAGAAGAGCACAUGGUAUCUCUUGAGUUACAAAGUCAAACCCCUGGUGAUCCACCCACAGAGACAGAAACCUUACAUUCUGAUGCUAUAGUAAAAGAGUUGCCUCAUAAUGCUCCAGAUAAUAUGCAAACUGAUAUAGCGGAAGAUCCAAAACAGAGUCACAAUCCAGGAGAUGCUGUAUUUGAAGCAGUCACUGAAGCACCAAGUACUGCACAAGAUCAUACUGAGGAUGAUACUGGGAAUGAAGUUCCAGAAGAGCACAUGGUAUCUCCUGAGUUACAAAGUCAAACCCCUGGUGAUCUACCCACAGAGACAGAAAC